UACGUAGGGGGCAAGCGUUGUCCGGAUUUAUUGGGCGUAAAGAGCGUGUAGGCGGUUUGGUAGGUCCGUUGUGAAAACUCGAGGCUCAACCUCGAGACGCCGGCGGAAACCAUCAGGCUAGAGUCCGGAAGAGGAGAGUGGAAUUCCUGGUGUAGCGGUGAAAUGCGCAGAUAUCAGGAAGAACACCCGUGGCUAAGGCGGCUCCUCGUAGUACGGUACUGACGCUGAGACGCGAAAGCGUGGGGAGCGAACAGG
RNAcentral lists this ribosomal RNA (255 nucleotides) under uncultured bacterium. RNAcentral's name for it is "partial 16S ribosomal RNA". It matches the Rfam family "Bacterial small subunit ribosomal RNA", at positions 524 to 776 of the family's 1533-position model. The record is from RNAcentral.